This 586-nucleotide ribosomal RNA is filed under the name uncultured fungus. Its description in RNAcentral is "eukaryotic LSU rRNA". The stretch from base 207 to 359 matches the Rfam family "5.8S ribosomal RNA". Lineage: Eukaryota; Fungi. The record is from RNAcentral.
UCCGUAGGUGAACCUGCGGAAGGAUCAUUACCGAGUGAGGGCCCUCUGGGUCCAACCUCCCACCCGUGUUUAUUUUACCUUGUUGCUUCGGCGGGCCCGCCUUAACUGGCCGCCGGGGGGCUUACGCCCCCGGGCCCGCGCCCGCCGAAGACACCCUCGAACUCUGUCUGAAGAUUGUAGUCUGAGUGAAAAUAUAAAUUAUUUAAAACUUUCAACAACGGAUCUCUUGGUUCCGGCAUCGAUGAAGAACGCAGCGAAAUGCGAUACGUAAUGUGGAUUGCAAAUUCAGUGAAUCAUCGAGUCUUUGAACGCACAUUGCGCCCCCUGGUAUUCCGGGGGGCAUGCCUGUCCGAGCGUCAUUGCUGCCCUCAAGCACGGCUUGUGUGUUGGGCCCCGUCCUCCGAUCCCGGGGGACGGGCCCGAAAGGCAGCGGCGGCACCGCGUCCGGUCCUCGAGCGUAUGGGGCUUUGUCACCCGCUCUGUAGGCCCGGCCGGCGCUUGCCGAUCAACCCAAAUUUUUAUCCAGGUUGACCUCGGAUCAGGUAGGGAUACCCGCUGAACUUAAGCAUAUCAAUAAGCGGAGGAA